RNAcentral lists this ribosomal RNA (277 nucleotides) under uncultured Bifidobacterium sp. RNAcentral describes it as "partial 16S ribosomal RNA". It matches the Rfam family "Bacterial small subunit ribosomal RNA", at positions 511 to 788 of the family's 1533-position model. The record is from RNAcentral. Lineage: Bacteria; Bacillati; Actinomycetota; Actinomycetes; Bifidobacteriales; Bifidobacteriaceae.
GCAGCCGCGGUAAUACGUAGGUGGCGAGCGUUAUCCGGAUUUAUUGGGCGUAAAGCGUCCGCAGACGGCUUGUUAAGUCUAGAAUCAAAGCCCGGAGCUUAACUUCGGUUCGUUCUAGAAACUGGCAGGCUUGAGUAUAGUAGAGGCAAGUGGAAUUUCUAGUGUAGCGGUAGAAUGCGUAGAUAUUAGAAGGAACACCAGUGGCGAAGGCGACUUGCUGGGCUAUUACUGACGUUCAUGGACGAAAGCGUGGGGAGCAAAUAGGAUUAGAUACCCC